AUGCAGGCGGUUUAUUAAGCCAGAUGUGAAAGCCCCGGGCUUAACCUGGGAAUUGCAUUUGGAACUGGUAAACUAGAGUCUUGUAGAGGGGGGUAGAAUUUCAGGUGUAGCGGUGAAAUGCGUAGAGAUCUGAAGGAAUACCGGUGGCGAAGGCGGCCCCCUGGACAAAGACUGACGCUCAGAUGCGAAAGCGUGGGGAGCAAACA
Molecule: ribosomal RNA, 206 nt
Filed under: uncultured Vibrionaceae bacterium
Lineage: Bacteria; Pseudomonadati; Pseudomonadota; Gammaproteobacteria; Vibrionales; Vibrionaceae
Description: partial 16S ribosomal RNA
Rfam family: Bacterial small subunit ribosomal RNA
Source: RNAcentral